GACAAAUUCUUGUACUCAAUCCAUAUAACAAAUGAUAAAAUUCAUUUAAGUCAGAUUACAAUAACUAAAUACACAUAAAAAUACUAUGCAGGGAACUUGCGAUAUACAUAAUUGUCCAGACUCACUUUCCACUUUGCUUAAUUAUGAUCCAAAGAACUGCUGAAGUAAGCUUGAAACCAUUCCCAUGAGAGCAUUUUGAUACUUCCAACUAUAUCCAAAUCACGUAGAAUUUCUUCUUGAAACAAGAUGUUAUUUCUGCAUAACCAAAGAACCCAACAAGUAACAGGCCAAAAAAGUAAAGUUUUCCUACAAAUUGUGUUUUGAUCAUUUUGCAAAAUAGAAACAGUAGAGAGGAAAUAGACCAUGCAUUAUUCACCUCUACAAUCCCGAGCCAACCAACUUCUAAACCUGCUUGCUAACCACAUAACCUACAAACAAGUGAAUUUCAUCAUCUUCUUCUAAAAAGCAUAAAUGACAUACCAAGUUAUGUCUACCUUCAAUAAUCCCUCGUUUCUAUCGUUGAAUCCUACUUGGAAUCCGACUGAGAAUGAGUCUCCAUCUGAAGGCAUGUACUCUGUUUAACAUCUUGGUUUUCUACACCUUAUCCAACCCUCUAAAUUUAUCUUCCUCUAAAUUCAACUCAUUAUUACAUAACAAUGGUAGAACAUGUGGAACCUUGUUUUACAGGUGACAUGAAUUUGACAAGGACAACAUCUUUGGUUUGAGUUUUGAUGAUGAUAACGUAUUCAUGAUGACAAUCUAUUUAUCAA
RNAcentral lists this long non-coding RNA (770 nucleotides) under Lathyrus oleraceus (garden pea). Its description in RNAcentral is "Pisum sativum (pea) long non-coding RNA (PSAT_LNC032073)". Lineage: Eukaryota; Viridiplantae; Streptophyta; Magnoliopsida; Fabales; Fabaceae. The record is from RNAcentral.